RNAcentral lists this ribosomal RNA (490 nucleotides) under uncultured bacterium. RNAcentral's name for it is "partial 16S ribosomal RNA". It matches the Rfam family "Bacterial small subunit ribosomal RNA", at positions 30 to 507 of the family's 1533-position model. The record is from RNAcentral.
AUUGAACGCUGGCGGCAGGCCUAACACAUGCAAGUCGAACGGUAACAGGAAGAAGCUUGCUUCUUUGCUGACGAGUGGCGGACGGGUGAGUAAUGCCUGGGAAACUGCCUGAUGGAGGGGGAUAACUACUGGAAACGGUAGCUAAUACCGCAUAACGUCGCAAGACCAAAGAGGGGGACCUUCGGGCCUCUUGCCAUCGGAUGUGCCCAGAUGGGAUUAGCUAGUAGGUGGGGUAACGGCUCACCUAGGCGACGAUCCCUAGCUGGUCUGAGAGGACGACCAGCCACACUGGAACUGAGACACGGUCCAGACUCCUACGGGAGGCAGCAGUGGGGAAUAUUGCACAAUGGGCGCAAGCCUGAUGCAGCCAUGCCGCGUGUAUGAAGAAGGCCUUCGGGUUGUAAAGUACUUUCAGCGGGGAGGAAGGGAGUAAAGUUAAUACCUUUGCUCAUUGACGUUACCCGCAGAAGAAGCACCGGCUAACUCCGUG